GGGGAAUAUUGCACAAUGGGCGCAAGCCUGAUGCAGCCAUGCCGCGUGUGUGAAGAAGGCCUUCGGGUUGUAAAGCACUUUCGGCGGGGAGGAAGGCGGUGAGGUUAAUAACCUUGUCGAUUGACGUUACCCGCAGAAGAAGCACCGGCUAACUCCGUGCCAGCAGCCGCGGUAAUACGGAGGGUGCAAGCGUUAAUCGGAAUUACUGGGCGUAAAGCGCACGCAGGCGGUCUGUCAAGUCGGAUGUGAAAUCCCCGGGCUCAACCUGGGAACUGCAUUCGAAACUGGCAGGCUAGAGGCUUGUAGAGGGGGGUAGAAUUCCAGGUGUAGCGGUGAAAUGCGUAGAGAUCGGGAGGAAUACCGGUGGCGAAGGCGGCCCCCUGGACAAAGACUGACGCUCAGGUGCGAAAGCGUGGGGAGCAAAC
Molecule: ribosomal RNA, 425 nt
Filed under: uncultured bacterium
Lineage: Bacteria
Description: bacterial SSU rRNA
Rfam family: Bacterial small subunit ribosomal RNA
Source: RNAcentral